CACCAGUGGUUCUGACAGCUCCUUCUCAGAUGGUCUUCCUGUUCACCUACUGAACACAGCAGAUGAGAGAGAGAAGCCAGGAUUUACAGGAUCAUGCUCUCCAAAGAGAAACACAAACCCCAGCCAAGAGCCAGCUCCAGAUACGAAGCCAAACUGGUCCAGGAACAGAUACCCUGCCACAAAGGGAGGCCGUACGACUGCGGUGGUAUACCCAUCCUUGCACAUAUACACCUACCCAUAGGGUGCCUGGGCCAUGCCACACAGGCGCUUCCUUGCUGUGUUUUGGGUUAGACACAUUUUGUAACGAAGGGAUUUGUAUGCUAGGGAAUUACGUUCAUUUGUGGUAUUCUGUGUUGUGUGUUCAUCAUGCACUGUCCUCACCCCAGGUGCUUACACUGUGUUCAUGCUCUCAAGAUGCAUACCUCACUAACGAAAUUAUUUUUUCAUAAAAUGAAAUUUUAUUGUGAUGUAUCCAAAAGCUUCCCUUAUCAGAAAUUGAAGUGUGUGCUCGUGAAACUACAACACAGAUAUACCUCAGUUUAACCAAUAGAUAUUCUCUCUAAAAUUAUGUGCAAAUCAAUUUUAAAAGUGCAAACUCUGUUUUAAACGUAUUCUGGGAGUUUACUAUGUUAAAAGUCUUGUGUCAGAGCUUUCUAGUGUUCAAUGAUUAGUCUGACUGGGGUAUAUCAGGUUUGCUCAGGGUGAGGUGUUCCCACAUAGAGACGACAACUCAUGUACUACCUGGAAGUCAGUGUUGCAUAUAUUAUGUUCAGCAUGGUUAUGUAAAUUUUUUAACCCACUGAUUAAAAUUCUUUCUCUCCCACAAAUUGUUCCCUUUGAUUGGUUAACUGCAUAAUCUUGUGUGAAUAGAUAUUUUAGAUUUUCUAUCCCUCGCAAGCACCAAGCACCAUCUGCUGGCUACAGCCUGCGUGUCAACGUGCAGGAGUCACGUUAAACAAGGGUCACUCCAGUUCAUGCCAGGCCUCCUGUUUUGACUUUACCUGCUUCCUUUCACAUUGGAUUGAAAGUUUCCUAGUAUGUUUUUUGUCAUCACUUUUAAACUCUUUCAGCCACCACCACUACCUAGAUGACUAGAGAUUAGAGCCAAAUGGCAACACAUUUUAUUAUAAUCCCAGUGUCUGUGUC
Molecule: long non-coding RNA, 1146 nt
Filed under: Delphinapterus leucas (beluga whale)
Lineage: Eukaryota; Metazoa; Chordata; Mammalia; Artiodactyla; Monodontidae
Description: lncRNA (ENSDLEG00000003963.1)
Source: RNAcentral